Molecule: ribosomal RNA, 2930 nt
Filed under: Escherichia coli
Lineage: Bacteria; Pseudomonadati; Pseudomonadota; Gammaproteobacteria; Enterobacterales; Enterobacteriaceae
Description: bacterial LSU rRNA
Rfam family: Bacterial large subunit ribosomal RNA
Source: RNAcentral
GGGUUGUGAGGUUAAGCGACUAAGCGUACACGGUGGAUGCCCUGGCAGUCAGAGGCGAUGAAGGACGUGCUAAUCUGCGAUAAGCGUCGGUAAGGUGAUAUGAACCGUUAUAACCGGCGAUUUCCGAAUGGGGAAACCCAGUGUGAUUCGUCACACUAUCAUUAACUGAAUCCAUAGGUUAAUGAGGCGAACCGGGGGAACUGAAACAUCUAAGUACCCCGAGGAAAAGAAAUCAACCGAGAUUCCCCCAGUAGCGGCGAGCGAACGGGGAGCAGCCCAGAGCCUGAAUCAGUGUGUGUGUUAGUGGAAGCGUCUGGAAAGGCGCGCGAUACAGGGUGACAGCCCCGUACACAAAAAUGCACAUAUUGUGAGCUCGAUGAGUAGGGCGGGACACGUGGUAUCCUGUCUGAAUAUGGGGGGACCAUCCUCCAAGGCUAAAUACUCCUGACUGACCGAUAGUGAACCAGUACCGUGAGGGAAAGGCGAAAAGAACCCCGGCGAGGGGAGUGAAAAAGAACCUGAAACCGUGUACGUACAAGCAGUGGGAGCACGCUUCGGCGUGUGACUGCGUACCUUUUGUAUAAUGGGUCAGCGACUUAUAUUCUGUAGCAAGGUUAACCGAAUAGGGGAGCCGAAGGGAAACCGAGUCUUAACUGGGCGUUAAGUUGCAGGGUAUAGACCCGAAACCCGGUGAUCUAGCCAUGGGCAGGUUGAAGGUUGGGUAACACUAACUGGAGGACCGAACCGACUAAUGUUGAAAAAUUAGCGGAUGACUUGUGGCUGGGGGUGAAAGGCCAAUCAAACCGGGAGAUAGCUGGUUCUCCCCGAAAGCUAUUUAGGUAGCGCCUCGUGAAUUCAUCUCCGGGGGUAGAGCACUGUUUCGGCAAGGGGGUCAUCCCGACUUACCAACCCGAUGCAAACUGCGAAUACCGGAGAAUGUUAUCACGGGAGACACACGGCGGGUGCUAACGUCCGUCGUGAAGAGGGAAACAACCCAGACCGCCAGCUAAGGUCCCAAAGUCAUGGUUAAGUGGGAAACGAUGUGGGAAGGCCCAGACAGCCAGGAUGUUGGCUUAGAAGCAGCCAUCAUUUAAAGAAAGCGUAAUAGCUCACUGGUCGAGUCGGCCUGCGCGGAAGAUGUAACGGGGCUAAACCAUGCACCGAAGCUGCGGCAGCGACGCUGAUGCGUUGUUGGGUAGGGGAGCGUUCUGUAAGCCUGCGAAGGUGUGCUGUGAGGCAUGCUGGAGGUAUCAGAAGUGCGAAUGCUGACAUAAGUAACGAUAAAGCGGGUGAAAAGCCCGCUCGCCGGAAGACCAAGGGUUCCUGUCCAACGUUAAUCGGGGCAGGGUGAGUCGACCCCUAAGGCGAGGCCGAAAGGCGUAGUCGAUGGGAAACAGGUUAAUAUUCCUGUACUUGGUGUUACUGCGAAGGGGGGACGGAGAAGGCUAUGUUGGCCGGGCGACGGUUGUCCCGGUUUAAGCGUGUAGGCUGGUUUUCCAGGCAAAUCCGGAAAAUCAAGGCUGAGGCGUGAUGACGAGGCACUACGGUGCUGAAGCAACAAAUGCCCUGCUUCCAGGAAAAGCCUCUAAGCAUCAGGUAACAUCAAAUCGUACCCCAAACCGACACAGGUGGUCAGGUAGAGAAUACCAAGGCGCUUGAGAGAACUCGGGUGAAGGAACUAGGCAAAAUGGUGCCGUAACUUCGGGAGAAGGCACGCUGAUAUGUAGGUGAAGUCCCUUGCGGAUGGAGCUGAAAUCAGUCGAAGAUACCAGCUGGCUGCAACUGUUUAUUAAAAACACAGCACUGUGCAAACACGAAAGUGGACGUAUACGGUGUGACGCCUGCCCGGUGCCGGAAGGUUAAUUGAUGGGGUCAGCGCAAGCGAAGCUCUUGAUCGAAGCCCCGGUAAACGGCGGCCGUAACUAUAACGGUCCUAAGGUAGCGAAAUUCCUUGUCGGGUAAGUUCCGACCUGCACGAAUGGCGUAAUGAUGGCCAGGCUGUCUCCACCCGAGACUCAGUGAAAUUGAACUCGCUGUGAAGAUGCAGUGUACCCGCGGCAAGACGGAAAGACCCCGUGAACCUUUACUAUAGCUUGACACUGAACAUUGAGCCUUGAUGUGUAGGAUAGGUGGGAGGCUUUGAAGUGUGGACGCCAGUCUGCAUGGAGCCGACCUUGAAAUACCACCCUUUAAUGUUUGAUGUUCUAACGUUGACCCGUAAUCCGGGUUGCGGACAGUGUCUGGUGGGUAGUUUGACUGGGGCGGUCUCCUCCUAAAGAGUAACGGAGGAGCACGAAGGUUGGCUAAUCCUGGUCGGACAUCAGGAGGUUAGUGCAAUGGCAUAAGCCAGCUUGACUGCGAGCGUGACGGCGCGAGCAGGUGCGAAAGCAGGUCAUAGUGAUCCGGUGGUUCUGAAUGGAAGGGCCAUCGCUCAACGGAUAAAAGGUACUCCGGGGAUAACAGGCUGAUACCGCCCAAGAGUUCAUAUCGACGGCGGUGUUUGGCACCUCGAUGUCGGCUCAUCACAUCCUGGGGCUGAAGUAGGUCCCAAGGGUAUGGCUGUUCGCCAUUUAAAGUGGUACGCGAGCUGGGUUUAGAACGUCGUGAGACAGUUCGGUCCCUAUCUGCCGUGGGCGCUGGAGAACUGAGGGGGGCUGCUCCUAGUACGAGAGGACCGGAGUGGACGCAUCACUGGUGUUCGGGUUGUCAUGCCAAUGGCACUGCCCGGUAGCUAAAUGCGGAAGAGAUAAGUGCUGAAAGCAUCUAAGCACGAAACUUGCCCCGAGAUGAGUUCUCCCUGACCCUUUAAGGGUCCUGAAGGAACGUUGAAGACGACGACGUUGAUAGGCCGGGUGUGUAAGCGCAGCGAUGCGUUGAGCUAACCGGUACUAAUGAACCGUGAGGCUUAACCUUACAACGCCGAAGCUGUU